This is a long non-coding RNA of Passer domesticus (house sparrow), 8108 nucleotides long. RefSeq lists it as uncharacterized. The transcript has 4 exons. Lineage: Eukaryota; Metazoa; Chordata; Aves; Passeriformes; Passeridae. The record is from RefSeq and is a predicted model, not a curated record.
CAGAGCAGAGAUCAGUGCCUGCCCCUCCUCUUCCCCUCACGAGGAAGCUGUAACUGCAGUGAGGCCUCCCCUCAGUCUCCUCCAGGCUGAACAGACCCAGUGUCCUCACCCUCUCCUCACAGCUUCCCCUCAAGGCCCUUCACCAUCUUUGUUGCCCUCCUUGGGCAUUCUCCAAUAGUUUAAUGUCUUUCUUACAUUGUGGCACCCAGAACUGCCCCCAGCAGUUCUGGAGGAAGUAAUUACAGGCAAGAUGCAAGCCCUGGCACACAACUGGAGCUAUCCUGAGGAAGAAAGGUCUGAACAGAAGCAAAGCAGGAGCAGGAGAGGGAAGCCACCACCAGCUUGCAGGGACAAUAGACCAUGUUCUGUGAUGCUGUGCUCCAGCUUGCUUGUGUUAGCAGAGAAGGAAUUAACCCUUGAAGACCAUAUUGCCUAUUAAAAUAAUUUGAAAAUUACCUUCUGUUCUUCAACAACACUUUAUAAGCGCUUGAAACACCACACAGCACCCCAAAACUGCAGCCAGUUGGAUCAGUGCAAUCCUUGGAUGGGUCCAAGAAAGGCUGGGAGCUGUCAGAGGCAAAAGACACCUGUGAAAUCACCUGAGGAGUUACAUGAGGACACAUCUGAGAGACACAGAAGGAGAUGUGCAGGUGGGGACCCUUGCUGGGGACACAGCUGGAGUUUCACUCACGGAAAGGAGAGCUCCGUGACUGAGCAAGGGUGCCUCUGAGGGACUGUGGCCAUGGGCAGGGACACUCCUGAGGGAGUCCAGGGUAAGCUCUGGAUGAGUAGAGGGGCAAUCUGAAGAAAAUGAGUAAGAAGAAAGGAGGGCAGAGAGAAGCCAUUACACCCAGACUCCAACCUCCUGCUCCAUCCAACCCCUCAACCAAGGGCUUAGGAGGGCCAGAGUGCAAACACACUGAAAAUAAGGGAGCUGGAUUGAGUAAGGGUGAAGGAGAGCUGCUGAAGGGAGGAGAAGUUUGGGCUGAAGGUGGGGAGAGGAGAGGAAAAUAGUUUCCACUGGUACAUAGACUUUUAUUUAUUUGUCUAUGUCUCUGAAUCACUAGAUAAAAGUUUAUGUAUAUUGCCACUGAAGUAAACCAGGUACAGUUUUAUGAGUUGAGAUUGUUUUGCCGGCUUUGGUAAGGCCCAGCAGUGCAGGGGCUCAGCCUCACCGUGGCCUGGGCUGGCUGCUGCUGCUUUAGCCUCUGAGCUGGUGCUGGUGCUGCUGCCUGGCAGUGCCCUGCGUGUGUGUGUGGGACUGGGGCCACUGCCAAACAGCAGCUGGGAGCUGGAAACAAGCAGGGCCAGGAUUAAGGGGAAAAAAGCCCCACCACGAGGAUCAUGCUCCUCCCACUGAGGAUGGCAGGGUGCUGGUGGUUUGUCAUUGUGUCACCUGCCUCUACUGCUCAAGGGGCAGGAAGCUGUCACUGCUUUCACCAGACUACGCUGGAGGGACAAGCAUGAUACCCAGCCAGGGAAAGGGGUCUGUAUUUGUAGGCUUUCCAGUAUAACAAUUUUAGAGGUACUAAAUGGGCUUUUUAAAAGUCAAUUUGGACAAUAAGAGUUGGUAUUCCUGAAACAGGUCUAAUAGUAAUGCUAUAUGUUUAUUUGAUUGUUAAAGCAUUCACCAACUUAGUAGUGCAUUUUUAACUCCUGAAAUAUAGGGUUUUUUGCUUUUUGCUCUUUAAAUUUUUGAGAAUAGCAAAGGUGGGCAGAUAAUGGGCAGGCUUCUUGCUACGCUUCAGCAUAUUUUUCAGGUGGGGUUCUGAGGAACAGAAAUCCACUUUUUCAGCUUGCAUGUCUCCUGCAAGUCUGGGAUUUAGUGGCAGGAUUGUCCUUUGUUUCAUUGGACUUUGCCCAGAGAGUGCAGUGCCACAUCUUUAAAUAUCCAAUAAAAAGAUGUCCCCAUGGAAAUGCAGGACUGGAGAAGACCUCACAGGAUUACCCAGCACAAUCCUAUCUUCUGAAACAGCAGAAAGAUUCAUUCAGAGGUGAGUAUCAGAGGCAUCAGAAGCUUUGAGAGCAAGCCUUUCUACAACUUUCCUAUGUGACAUUUCAUUCUCUGUGUCUGUUAAAGAGUUUGUCAUAACAGUCAUGAUAUUUUUUUUCCUUUGAAAUUGAAGUUUUUAUACAUUUGUCUGGGUUUUCUGGACUGUGGGCAGCUCUGAUAGAGCAAUAGUGCACUAGCUCCAGUACAGAUCAGUUGCCAAAUUCCAAACGUCUUGAAAAUGCAGGCACAGGACAAUGUUACAAUGGAUUCACAGGUCACUACUGCUGCCCAAACAAAAAUGCAUUUAUGUACACUCUAAGUGCAGAUUCCUAAUUUACUUUUGCAGAUUUCUGACGUAGAACCCACUGACCAUCUCUGCCUCUCCAGCUUGGUGUUCCCUACCUGGCCUGCUCCUCCAGGUGAGUAUUUAAAUUGAGAUCCUACUCAUAUUUUUCACUGCCCCUGUUUUCUUUUAUCACACUUCAAUUCCCAUUCCCCUUUCUUUCACUCACUUAAGCCCCUGUGACCUCUGUAGCCACUUCUCUCUCACCCUGCUCUUGCAGCUCAGCCUGGGGUUCCUCAUCUCCCACCUGCUGCCUUUGGUGCCCGAGCAGCUGCUGCUGAGCAGCCCUUGCAAGGGGCCCGUGCAGCGCUGCUGUUUGUGUUUGUGGUGGGGGAGCAAUCGAUCCAGGUAAUAUUUCUUCAGCCUUCUCAGAAGAAUGUGUCUCCAGACAGUUUCUAAGCCCUUGCUAAAGCAAGAUACAUUACAUCUACUGCUUCCCUUUAAUCCAUUAUGCCAAUUAUAUUGGCAGACAAGGACAUUAGAUAGGUUUGACAUCAUCAGUUCUUAACACACUCAAGUGAGUUGUCUUUUAUCAUCUUACUGUCUUCUGCUGCUUUUGAAUUGAUUGGUUAAGAAUUUGUUCCAGAAUCUUUCUGGGAAUUGAAGUCAAGUGCUCUGUAAUUCUCUGGAUUCUUCCCUCACCCCUUCUGCCCACACACCCCACACCUUCCUAUUUUCAAAGUUUUCUAUUUCUAGUCCUUUGGGACUUUUGUGGUUAAAACUAGGUAGACUUUUGAUAAUGUUCUUAAAUCCAAAGGGAUGAAAAUGGUUUGUCCUAAUUCCUUUUCCCUAGUGCUUUUGGUGAAUAUCCCUGCUGAACUGAAUACAUUUAUUUACUAAAUAUUGAACCUCUUUUUUUGGCUUAGUUUCCUGCUGGUUGUUAAAUUUAAUUUCAUUAAGCCUCAACAAACUAAUUUUGGGAGGAGUGAAGCCCAGAAUAUAACCAUUUUCUGCUAUUGUUCUUUUUUUCUGGCCCUUUAACUUCUUGACAGCAAGGGAAUUCCUUUAAUAUUUGUUGAAAUGUAUUUUUCUCAUAGAAGAAAUAAAUCCUGUUUGACAGACUGUAAUCUUCUUCAUCCUUCCUCCUUACAUGCCUAAAUCUAAACAGAGAAACAGUUCCUUAGAGAUGCCUAAAACCUUACAUUUGAAUGAAGCAAGUGUCUAAGUGUCUGGAUUAGGAGAGAUAAUUAUACAAACAUGGGGGGAAACUACUGUGUGGAGAUUAGGAGCAACAUUGUUUAUUAGGCAUGAUCACUGGCUUCAUGCCUCUUUAAAGCUGACUUUGGAUCUCUUCUGUUAGAUUGCUUCCAUCUUUGUACCUUUCAAAUAAGCAUUUCUCAUAAACAUAACAUCCAUGUACAUACUUGGAUUAUUUCAGUCGUACACCUGGGGGAGGGCUGAAAGAGUACUAAAAAUAAUCUUUCAAGUGGAGAGCAAAAGUGCCACAUAUGAGUCAGAAAAUAUUUCUGUAGGAACUACUAUUCCUUUAAAAUAUCAAUUUAUAUUUAUGUAGCACUUUCCACUGAAAGAUCCCUAUAUUUUUGGAAAUGCUAGUUGACUCUCCUGGGGUGAAUCCUAAGAACUAGGAAGGAAACACCUAAAGUUUAGAUGAGGAGAAUCAAGAAAAGAGCAUGAAUCACUUACCUAAUGUUACACAGAAAGCCUCUGAUGGACCAGAUUAAAGAACCAGGUUCACAAGUCUUUAUCUUGUUAGCCUUUCCCAGUAUAAAUAACUGCUUAUAGUAAAAUUACCUUUUUUGAAAUGGAGUUAACUUUGAUCUAAUCAUAUUAGGAAACUAACUAACUACUACUACUACUACUACUAAUAAUAAUAACAACAAUAAUGAAAUCUCUUUAGUACCCAUCUGCUUUGAUCUAAUCAUAUUAGGAAACCAACUACUACUACUACUAAUAAUAAUAAUAAAAAUGAAGAAAUCUCUUUAGUUCCUGCCUGUUGCAACUUCCUUUCAAGGAUCUGGUCUACAGAGAAGCUUCACUGGGCAUGCAAGAUUCCUUUCUUUUAAUUAGAACAUUAAUAUUCCCACUGUUUCCUUAGCUUCUAAAGCUAAUGUCAAUCCAUCCCCCUCCAGUCACUUGGCAAAGAAUGUGACGAGAGUAUCAGGAGGAGGUUCUUUAUGCAGAGCUUUCCAAGUGACAAAACAUAAGGCUGUGUUGUUAUACCUGUCUUUUUUUUUGUUUUUGUUUUUGUAUAGCAGUUCCCAUGCAGACAAAUUUCACAUUAUCUCUGUACCACAGCAGGAUUCAUUUGCUUUGCUCCUUCACUCCCCUGAGCAAUGUUUUCCUGUAUUUUGAACUGAAGCAAAUUAUGUCAUGAAAGUGUGUUUAAAAUCGUUGCAAUAUAACAAAAAGUUUACUUUUCCUAACAACAACAACAACAACAAUAACUGUAAUAAAAAGCCCUACCAAUAAGCAUGUUACUUAGCAACAUGGCACAAGGAGCUGAAGGGAUUGCCGGAGUCCAUUGGAAUUGACAAGGGAUCUGCAGGUGAGUGAUGGAGCCACCCUAGCCGGCAGCUGUGGGAAGCAGCUGGAAAGAAACGAUUACAAACCACCAAAAUUACUGAUAGAAGAGGGUGGAAUGAACUUCACAAUGAGAGGGAUAGUGUAAUACAACAACAGAAAAGAAAUAGUAGAAUGUCACGAAAAAAAGUGAAGGAGAAAAGCAAGAUAGAGUAAAAAAUUCAUGAGGACUCCAAGCAGUUGCCAGAAAAUAUGAUUAAUGUUCAUCCCUAAACAAUUACAGGAAAUAAUUCCCUGUGGUAAGUGUGAAGUGACACGAAUAAGAAGAUUUGGGUAUGAGCAUUUGCACAACCUAAAGUGCAGCGAUCCCUGCAACUUGUUCACUCACACACUUGUGUGGACUCGGGAGGGAGCUGGGAGCCAUUAGCUGGAUGUGCUUUAGUGACCUGUAUCCCAGCCCCACUGCUUAGCAUGGCAAGAGCACAGCAGGAAUGAGACAGUGUAGGGAUGGUUCCUCUCUGCUCUGUAAAUAUUAUGUGCUUGAAUAUUCAUGCUAUUUGAAUAAACAUUAAAACAGAGGCCAUAUCAGUCAUGGUCAGUGUGUGCACCUUUGAGAUCACAAGUCAGUCACCACAUGCUUUAAAUUGAUACAUGACUACCAGAUUUUCAGCUCCAGAUUAGAUGUAUACAGCCACCAAGGGUGUCUGAGCUGAGCCAGGUGUAUGUUAGAGCAGGUGUGGGAGCACAAAGCAUGUUUUCAUUUCCCAGCAUUUGAACCGGCUUGUGCUAUGUCUCUCACAGGAUCCAGUAUUCCUUUUUCAUAGUCCUUUGCAGUUUAUACUCAGACUUUCUAUGUAUGAAAAUGUGCACAUCGAUAACUGUUAAUAUACUUUACAUUUCUUUUAGUACAUGGGCGUUUUCAAAAUGCUUUAGAGUUUUCAUAAAAAUGAAUAUGCAUUGUGCCCAAAUUCUGCUUACUCUAAUGCCAAUUCAUAACUGUGUUUACUUUAAUGGUGGUGCCAGAUUUACACUGCAGGAUGUAAGCUGCUGUGCCUGCACCAAUAGUUGGAUGUGCAAGAGCACAACACAACACGUGGCUUCUCUCUUUUCCCCUGAAAGAUUAUCACCUCAGGAGUACAACAUGGCAACUCUAACAAAGUACAGUAGCUAUUCAAAAUGCACUAAUAAUCUUUUGGAAAACAAUCAAAAAAAUGGUAUGAUGGGUUGUAUUACUUCAAGAAGUGUACAAAUUGUGUAUUUGAUUUCAGAUGAUUAAUUAUAGCAAUUUAUUUUGUACUACAAGGGAGAGACAUUUGAAAUCACAUUUUUUAUAAUUUCUAAAGCAGAUGUUUAGUAUUUUGACAGCUCCAUUAUUUAGGUACUGAUAUAAAUUUACUUUUUUUUGUAUAUGAGAGAGAAUACCAAGUGUCUUUACAUUCAUGUGUUGUUAACUACUGCAUAAAUAUGUGAAAGUGGAAAAAAAAGGGCUUUCCAUUCAAAGCCACUAAAUACCUCUAAGUCAAUGCCAUGUUCCAUUAGUUAUCUUAGUAAAUGUGGGGCUUAGCAAUGCUUUCUAAUGAAUUUUUUGAAAUAUGAACAUAUAUUAUUGGAUACGUUCCACAUUGAAAGUAGUGAAAAUGCAUACAGCAUCAGUCUUGAGAAACAGGAAGAGAAGAUAAUCUUACCAGUUGCUAUGCUGGUUAAUCAAACUUAGAUCUGUUAAACAGCAGAUCCCUAACCGAAUUUCCUUUCUCUUCUGUGGUGUGUUGGGUACAGUAUUUGAAUGUCACAGCCCAUUUGUUUCCUCCUCUGAGUAUUCUCUCUGGCUUUAGGCUUUAGUCAUGAUGUUUCUGACUGUGAUUAAAGCUUUCAGCUGUGACUGGGUGGCUGGAACUGUAUGGGCUGAGGUCAGCAGGCCUUCCGAAACCAUCCUAUGUUUUUUACUGCAUGUCACCUGUGGUAAUACAAUGAAUUUGACAUCAGUAUUCAGGAAUUUCUCAUAGAUACAGAGCUCUGUGUACUCAGUUAUGCAUGUUAUCAGUGUUGGGCCUAGAGACUUCUCCUAAUGCUAAGUCAAGCUCAGUAUCCUGAUCCCUGCUUGCCCUUCUUGUUCUCAGCUCAGAGUUUUUAAGGUUAUGUCAGCAUUGCACAGCAGAACUCAGUGCUGUGGUUCCACAGCUGGCACCAAAGCAACUAGCAGAGGGGUGGAAAGCGGAUGUGGUAAUAGGGCAGUAUGUCCAAGAUGACAGACUUAAGGACACCAGCAGAGGUGCUGACGCUGGCAUGGAUGCAUACAAGCUCCUGCAGAGGCAGACUUCACUGCUUUGCUCAAAUGGACAUAGCCUAAAACAUCUCCUGCCAGUCUGUAAGGACCGACUUAUUGGUACCCUCACUCAGGUACAAGUGAACCCAGUAACUCAUCUGUUCAUUGGAUGAAGGCUUGAGAUUGUUUUGAACAACAUCUGUCAGGAACAAGGAUACUGUCAGGUUGUUUUUUUUUUUUUAUACUGUCAGUUUUCCAGAGAAAGUACAUGGCAUGUAUAUUUUUCUCAACAAAACCACUUCCAAAAUCUGGCAAUCUGGGAGUCUAUGUUUCCUGUCUCUCUCUUCAGAGAAAUCAAGCUUCAACCUUGACCAACAUUACUUUUGUCACCCUGUGCACUGGUGGCUGGUAUUAAAUUCUGGGAUAGCAAGAAUGGGAUGGGCACUUCUGUGGAACCAAUGACUACUGCUUGCAGGCAACUCAGCUGGGUCAAGCCUGGCUGGCUCCUGCUUGUGUAGGCUGCUUCUGGGGCUGGUUUCAUUGCUGGUAUCACUGACAUUGGUGAUGUACUGUGGGAUAACUUCUGUUCUCCUGCUUGAAAACAGCUUGUGUGACAUAAUGUCUAUGGUCAUUUUACCUAGCAGUUACCAGUUUUUAAAGGGCGGCAGCUGUCAUCUCAUGCUAGCUAAAAUGGUUGAUUUCAGAGUUUACUGCAUUUCUGGUCAGAUUUGAAGAGAUGAGGGAAUAGAAUGUCCUCCUGUUUCUGGUCCUCUAUUUUGUUUCCCCCUUGCUAUGCUAAUUUAGUGCCAAAUACUGUGCCCUUCUCUUCAAAUGCCAGUAAAUCUGCUGCAGCCUAGGGUUGCUACAUGUGUUGGUCUGACACUCUCUACCUCUUUGGGCUGUGUCAGUGCCAAGAACUGUCAUCUCUGCCUGUUUCAUACACUGUGUUUGUUUCUCACAAGUCUUUAAGAUAAAUAAAUGAAAGAAUUUGUGUAGGUGUGGGUUUUUUUUUUUGGUUUUUUUUUUGU